UCAUUUGAGAGAGUUGAGGAAAACUCCUCUCUUUCUGUUAUCUUAGAGCAUUAAAUAGAAAGGGAGAACACAUUUAUUUACCAUUGCAUUGGUUUGAAUUGAGGUGAACAACCCCCGUUGCCUCAGUUUCAGGGGUUAAAUUGAAAGAAACUCCGGCUUUUCCAGCCUUUGAAAGGUUUGAAUCGGAGCGUGCCACCGCAUUUGAGGUCGCUUCCGGCCAUGCCCCGGCACCGAAUGUCUCGCGCGGGAGCACUCCCGGCCGCUGGGGAAUUUCUGAGGAGGAAUGGGAAUUUGGGGGCCGGGCCGCCGACAGGGACCGACGGAGCCGCGCCGGUCCGAGCCGCGCGGAGCCGAGUUUCUACAUUCAGAGGUCUUUCUGCCAAGCCUCCAGAUCCGUGUAAUUCCCUUGCCAAACUAUCCUCCUCCCCAACGGUGCAGCACUCGUUGCCUCGCACCUUCAGUUCAUCGUGGAAAGCAUUUAUUUUAGCGAGCAAACGUUGUUGCGGCAGGCGCAGCGAAAAGCAGAAGAAUUCUCGGUAAGAUCAUCUCGGAGAGCUCAAGCGCCGGCCAAAACCUCGCCACGUUCCGCCGUGACGCCACCGAGGGAGGAAAGAGCGUGAGGUGCAAAGCCCUGAGCGGAGCGGUAGGAAACGGGAGGACCGAAGAGUCGGGCUAGGAAGUGUCUCAUCAUAUAGUCUGCAACUUAACAGUUCCCAUGCCAGGAACUGUUAAUUGUAGCAGAAGACAGCAAACGAAGCCUAGAGACUCGACCGGGACGCCCCAGGUCCCUGCCAGGCGCGGAUUACAAAAAAACCAAACCCUGAGGUUACAAAACCACUAAAAGCUCAUCUUACAAAAC
This is a long non-coding RNA of Corvus hawaiiensis (hawaiian crow), 859 nucleotides long. RefSeq lists it as uncharacterized. The transcript has 3 exons. Lineage: Eukaryota; Metazoa; Chordata; Aves; Passeriformes; Corvidae. The record is from RefSeq and is a predicted model, not a curated record.